Molecule: transfer RNA, 84 nt
Filed under: Puniceicoccales bacterium
Lineage: Bacteria; Pseudomonadati; Verrucomicrobiota; Opitutia; Puniceicoccales
Description: tRNA-Leu
Rfam family: tRNA
About the family: Transfer RNA (tRNA) molecules are approximately 80 nucleotides in length. Their secondary structure includes four short double-helical elements and three loops (D, anti-codon, and T loops).
Source: RNAcentral
GUUUAGGUGGUGGAAUUGGUAGACACGCUGUCUUCAGGCGGCAGUGCCCAAAGCAUAGGGGUUCGAGUCCCCUCCUAAACACCA